This is a long non-coding RNA of Olea europaea var. sylvestris, 463 nucleotides long. RefSeq lists it as uncharacterized. The transcript is spliced from 2 exons. The record is from RefSeq and is a predicted model, not a curated record. NCBI's taxonomy places the organism in Eukaryota, Viridiplantae, Streptophyta, Magnoliopsida, Lamiales, Oleaceae.
GUUGGUGGAUCCUGCCGUGUCAUCGAAGUUCCUCAGGCUGAGGAUUGUCUGCAGCCUGUAAUUAACAUAGUUCCAUUGCAGCUAUUGGCUUAUCAUCUCACCGUUCUAAGGGGACACAAUGUUGAUCAACCUCGGAAUCUUGCAAAGAGUGUAACCACCCAAUGAACCACACAAAAUUUUUAUUUUUUUAUUUUUCUCUUCACUCCUUUCUUGGUUGCGGAAAUUUGUCUCAAGCUGCAGAUAUUCCAUCUGACCACGAACCGUUAAUCUGCCAUGUUUCCCUCUGCUAAUUCUUGUGACCCUAUACGAUAAACGAUUGAGAUUUGAUGCUUGAUAUGAUUAAAAAAAAUAACUUUAUUCCCUGACCUUGUUGAUUCCUUUUUCAUCCAGAUGAACGGUGAUUGUACCUCACUACAUUUCCGCUGCUUGCUUUGUGUAAUAUAAUCUCUCUUCGAAGUAGUAA